GUGACUCCGGUAGUCUAUGAUGCGCGUCGAACGGUCCGUAGCAAUACUGAUAGUGGCGCACGGGUGCGUAACGCGUAACCAACCUACCCGGAACUGGGGGAUAGCCCGCCGAAAGGCGGAUUAAUACCGCAUAAAACUAUGGGGCGGCAUCGGCUCUUGGUUAAAGAUUUAUUGGAUUUGGAUGGGGUUGCGUGCCAUUAGCUGGUUGGGGGGGUAACGGCCCACCAAGGCGACGAUGGCUAGGGGAGCUGAGAGGCUGGUCCCCCACACGGGCACUGAGAUACGGGCCCGACUCCUACGGGAGGCAGCAGUAGGGAAUAUUGGGCAAUGGCCGAGAGGCUGACCCAGCCAUGCCGCGUGCCGGACGAAGGCCUUCUGGGUCGUAAACGGCUUUUGCCCGGGAAGAAUAAGGGCUGUGCGCAGCCCGACGACGGUACCGGGUGAAUAAGCACCGGCUAACUCCGUGCCAGCAGCCGCGGUAAUACGGAGGGUGCAAGCGUUGUCCGGAUUUAUUGGGUUUAAAGGGUGCGUAGGCGGCUUCUUAAGUCCGGGGUGAAAGCCCGUUGCUCAACAACGGAACUGCCCCGGAAACUGGGGAGCUUGAGUCCAGACGAGGUUGGCGGAAUGGAGGCUGUAGCGGUGAAAUGCA
RNAcentral lists this ribosomal RNA (649 nucleotides) under bacterium. RNAcentral's name for it is "bacterial SSU rRNA". It matches the Rfam family "Bacterial small subunit ribosomal RNA", at positions 39 to 690 of the family's 1533-position model. The record is from RNAcentral.